CAAUUUUUUUUUUAAAAUUUUAUUUAAUAUAGUUCAGAGCUUACAAGCUCCCAGCAAGGGACGUGAGAGUUACAAGAGACAAUACAAAUCCAGAGAGCAAUAACACAAACAAUAUAGAACAAGAAGGAAAUUAUUAUCCUCUAGGUCCAAGAACUUGCAUCCUAAUUAUUAAAGCUAGAUUAGUAAAAUUGCGUAUAAGGUUAUUUAAUUAAAUUACAAUAAAAAUAAUGAAAGUAACUUAAUUAUUGUAUUAAAAAAAGUUUUAUUCAAUACUCAUAAUAUAGUACAUAAUAUUUCUUCAUAUAAUGACCAAAUUGCAAAUUUAUUGCUUAUUACUCUCUGGAUCAUGGCCACUCGUUGCGGUUUGGUUUAGGUAGAUAAAAGCUGAACAGGAAUAGAAAGAGAUGUCAAUUACAAGCAGAAUGGGUUUGUUUUACCAAGGUAAAGGUAUAGCAGUGGUGGCUCUUGGCGGCAACAAUUUCGACGACUCCGGCGGCAACAUUCAUGGCCCCAGAGACUCCGGCAACCAAUGGAAAAUUAAAAGCAGAAGCAAAACAGAACAAUCCCUUCUCCGGUGACUUCCUCCACCUGCAACGGAGGCAACCGCAAUGACAGUAGAAGAACAGAAGGCUGGCUCUAUCUCGCGGUGGUGGAAGGCAGCAGCAUCUCGGCGACGAGAUCCAGCAGAGCUCCCCUUUCUCUCUCCCGUUUGCGCCCUCCUUCUCUGCCCUGUUUGGUGACGACGAUGGCCUCAACCGGGACGGCGACGGUCUCGAUCAACGGCAGCAGCGGCGACGGGAACAACGACGACGACAGGACUCCAUCCUUCCUCUUCUCCGUCGCGCGCUUUCCUCUUUCUCCAUGGAAGGUCUGCGAUCUCACUCUCAUCUCUCUCGUGCGUCUCUUCUUUUCUCCGCAACGACAACAGCUGCGCCUAGCCCCGCCGGCAUCGUCUCUUCCCUCUUCUUCCUUUCUUCUUCAAUCGCUCCCCCUCUGAUUUCUGUUCUCCUCCCUUUCUCUCUUUCUUUCUCCUGUUGGUGGGUGUAUGUGUUGUAAUGAAAUUAGGAUAAAAUUAGGGAUUUUUGGAUUAGGAUUGAAGUUGGAAACAGAAGGGUAAAAAUAGGUUAGGAAUUUUAAUAAAAUUAGAGGGGAGGAUGGUCAUAAAAAAAAAAAAGCUUGGGACGUGACAACAUUCUUCCAAAGGAACUAAUCUGUGGUAUCUGCCUUAUUCCGUAAUUUCGUUUUUUAAAUUCUUUUUUGGUAUCGGAGGCAGUUUUUGAGGCUGGGUUCUGUGGUUUUCUAUGUCUGGAAGAAGUUCGGAAGUUUAACUAAGAAAAUCCCUCUUUCAUAAUCAAGCUAGUGAAAAGUAAUCUACAGAGAUCAAGGGCUAAUUUUAAAGCUUCCUUCUACACAAAGUAUUUUGAAAACAAGGAGCAGAAUGUAGAGAUUCAGUACAAAGGAAAGUUGUGGCCUGCAAAGUUGCUCUGUUAUCCCGUAGCAGCAGCUGCCUAUAUCUCGAAUGGUUGGCGGCCUUUUAGUCUUGAGAAUGAUUUAAAAGUUGGAGAUGUUUGUGUCUUUGAGCUCAUUAAUGGAGAAAAUCCAGUGCUUGAUGCUCAUAUUUAUAGAGCCAAUGGUUAAGCAAUCCAUUAGAACUUCAGGAGCUCUUAAUAAACCAAGUAAUUUGGUAAAUAUGUAGCACUUAUUUUGUAAAAUUGAAAAUCUACUAUGGACAAUCUCUCUUGUAAAUAUUGUCUCUUGUUUUAUCAUUUUAGUGAAGAUGUAGCUCUUAUUUUUCCCGGACCAAAUACACCUUGAAAAAUAUGCAUAUUCUCAUA
Long non-coding RNA from Arachis ipaensis, 1835 nucleotides. RefSeq lists it as uncharacterized. NCBI's taxonomy places the organism in Eukaryota, Viridiplantae, Streptophyta, Magnoliopsida, Fabales, Fabaceae. The record is from RefSeq and is a predicted model, not a curated record.